GUCAGCUUCAGCAGGAACUCGAAGGCACAGUUCACAUCCUCUGUGAAAUCCUUGUCCCCGUGGGGAUAGUUCUUCAGUUCAACCAGGACCUGAGGGAUCUUCAGGAAGGUAAAGGCUGUCCACUUCAGCUCCUCUGUGCCCUCUGGGGACUCGAUGAGGCCCACGAAACACGCCUUCCAGAUCUCCAGCAUGAAGAGCGGGGAAGGGAUGCGCUGCAUCCUCUUCACCAUCAUCAGCUGCUCCACCAGAGGCUGGAUCUCUCCUGUGAGGUUCAUGGUCCCCUCCAGCAGCACCACAGCAUGCACGGUGGGGAAGCCAGUCUUGUUCAGCUGCUCAGAGCGAACUGAUAGCAUGGUGG
Molecule: long non-coding RNA, 358 nt
Filed under: Gallus gallus (chicken)
Lineage: Eukaryota; Metazoa; Chordata; Aves; Galliformes; Phasianidae
Source: RNAcentral